CUUGACUUCAUGUGAAGGGCGUCCAGUUUUGGUUUUGGGUGGACUGUGGGACAGGAUGAAGGUGUCCAGAUAGAGCGACGUCACAGGAAAGAUGAGCCCUGAUUUGGUGGCUGAGUGGGUGGACGAGGACACACACCCCGACCGGCUGGAUGUUUGACUGACGGCGCCUCGCUAUGACUCACUGAUUCGGCUUUUCGUCCCACGCCGAGCUAUCUGCGGAGGCUAAACGCCCGUUGCUCUUCCCUCUGACUUCCUGACGACUCCUUCCUGUCAUCCUGACGUCUUCCUGUCAGCUGGUGGCGUUGUGGCGGUGAGGUGAUGCAGGUAAAGUGCUACCAGAUAGAUGCCGUGCCAGGCUGGAGCUGUUAGCGCUAAGUGCUGCCGCCACCGGGCCUUUUCUGGUUCCUGUGAGCACAACAAUGAGCGCUCACUGUGGUCCGCCGCCUCCCAGCAGCCUCCCAGCAGCCUCCCAGCAGCCUCCCAGCAGCCUCCCAGCAGCCUCCCACCAGCCUCCCACCAGCCUCCCACCAGCCUCCCACCAGCCUCCCACCACUCCCCCCUCUCAUCCCUCCCUCUGCUGGCUCUGACUCAGCUGUUUUGUAGGAAACUCCGUCUCUUUGAAGAAGGGAAGAAUCUUUCAUUACUCGAUGAUAGGGGCAGAAGAACCGGCCCAUUGUCUCCCCGGUCCCUCGAUGGUAAUUGUGCCGAGCUAAUUACAGGAGAGCCGCUAGCGCAGGUGUGGAGCGCCGCACCUGGAGGACAAGUCGGCUCACGGCUCGCAGGAGGCCGGGGUGAAAGUGUGGCUCAGAUCACGGAAGCUGACAUGUGCUUAGCGUGUCGGUCAGCGUGUUGUUUCUGUCAGACGAGCGGCAGCCCCAGGCCCAUCUGGCUCUGGUUACGACGGUCUACAUCUGCGCCGCAUUACAAACACUCACACACUCUCACUCACUCACUCACUCACUCACUCACUCACACACACUCACACACACACUCACUCACUCACUCACACACACACACACACACACACAACAGCCGAUCCAAGCAGACCCACUACAAUCAGCUAAUUGAUAAACAGAACCGCAGGGAGAAACGCUGCUGAUUCACCUUCUGCAGCUUCAUGUUUUCUGAUGGCAGAGAUGAUGUCAGUGGGGGGCUCUCACGGGAACUGCUUCUGUUUUUUUGGGCUUUUUACCGUAAAGGAACUCAUCUGAGACGCUGACCGGAAGAAGAGGAAGCCGCCUGGCCGGACGCCAGCGAGGAUCAGGACAGCCGGAGACGUCAGAGCUUCAGACGGAAAACAAAAGUUCGUACGAUGACAGAAACGAGUCACUGGAAACCCUGAAAGCACCUGGGAAUGAUCAAUCUGUACGACUAAAUCUACUGAAAACACUGAGCUCAAAGAUUCAACUUUUAAUCUACAAUCAGGUGUUUUCCUUCAUUACACUUUAUUUUAGAACAGGGGUGUCCAACAUGAGGCCCACGGGCCAAAAGCAGUCCUCCAGAGGGUCCAAUCCGGCCCUCAAAGUGUAAAAAUUCCAGAGAAGACAUUAACUGCAGAUUGUAAAUUAGUAAAACUAUAAAUUUAAAAUCAUUUCUAGAACAUGACAAGUUGUUUUGAUCAUAAAGUAAAAUACUAGAUUGUUCAUUUGUCGUUCUAUGUCUUAUUUUUGUAAUAUUUUGUAUUGUUUUUGUUGUUUCUUUGUCUUUUUUUGUUUGACUUUUAUCGUUUGUCUCACGCUUUUGUCAUUGUGUUCUCAUUUUUGUCUCGCUUGUGUUUUUUGUCUCAUUUUCGUCAUUGUGUGUUUUGCUUUAUUCAUUGUUUUCUGUUUUAUUUUGGUCAUUUUUUUGUGUCAUUUUUCCAUUUUUUGUCACUUUGUAACUUUUUUGUCUAUUUUUUCUCAUUUUGUUUCUCGCUUUUGUUGUUUUGUCUCAUUUUUGUAGUAUUUUGUCUUGUUUUUGUUGUUUUUUGUCUUUUCUUGAAGUAAAGUCCUAUAUCAUCAGUUCCAGAUAGGUGACUAAAUGUUGUGUUCCUUUGUCGACACUCAGUGAUGUGGAAGUUGUAAUGUGGAAAUGAUAAACUGA
Molecule: long non-coding RNA, 2082 nt
Organism: Amphiprion ocellaris (clown anemonefish)
Lineage: Eukaryota; Metazoa; Chordata; Actinopteri; Pomacentridae
Source: Ensembl